Long non-coding RNA from Lagopus muta (rock ptarmigan), 172 nucleotides. RefSeq lists it as uncharacterized. The transcript has 2 exons. Lineage: Eukaryota; Metazoa; Chordata; Aves; Galliformes; Phasianidae. The record is from RefSeq and is a predicted model, not a curated record.
GGGGGAUUGCCUUCUUUUGGAGUUUCCAGUAAGCCUUGAUCCUCAGAAAGGCCACACACAUCCAUGAAUGGUUGGAGCUGAAGGGCCCUGAAGAGUCAUGAUGCACUCUUCUGCUCAAAUGGUUGACUUUUGGUCUUAACUUCUCUUGGGCAAGAAACCCAUCCUUGGCUUG